UGGGGAAUAUUGCACAAUGGGGGAAACCCUGAUGCAGCAACGCCGCGUGAAGGAAGACGGUUUUCGGAUUGUAAACUUCUAUCAAUAGGGACGAAGAAAGUGACGGUACCUAAAUAAGAAGCCCCGGCUAACUACGUGCCAGCAGCCGCGGUAAUACGUAGGGGGCAAGCGUUAUCCGGAAUUACUGGGUGUAAAGGGUGAGUAGGCGGAAAGGCAAGUCUGAUGUGAAAGCCCGGGGCUCAACCCCGGGACUGCAUUGGAAAUGUCUAUCUAGAGUACAGGAGGGGUGAGCGGAAUUCCUAGUGUAGCGGUGAAAUGCGCAGAUAUUAGGAAGAACACCGGCGGCGAAGGCGGCUCACUGGACUGUAACUGACGUUGAGGCUCGAAAGCGUGGGUAGCAAACAGGAUUAGAUACCCUGGUA
Molecule: ribosomal RNA, 422 nt
Filed under: uncultured bacterium
Lineage: Bacteria
Description: bacterial SSU rRNA
Rfam family: Bacterial small subunit ribosomal RNA
Source: RNAcentral